GGGAAUCUGCCUUUGAGCGGGGGACAACAUUUGGAAACGAAUGCUAAUACCGCAUAACAACUUUAAACAUAAGUUUUAAGUUUGAAAGAUGCAAUUGCAUCACUCAAAGAUGAUCCCGCGUUGUAUUAGCUAGUUGGUGAGGUAAAGGCUCACCAAGGCGAUGAUACAUAGCCGACCUGAGAGGGUGAUCGGCCACAUUGGGACUGAGACACGGCCCAAACUCAUACGGGAGGCAGCAGUAGGGAAUCUUCGGCAAUGGACGAAAGUCUGACCGAGCAACGCCGCGUGAGUGAAGAAGGUUUUCGGAUCGUAAAACUCUGUUGGUAGAGAAGAACGUUGGUGAGAGUGGAAAGCUCAUCAAGUGACGGUAACUACCCAGAAAGGGACGGCUAACUACGUGCCAGCAGCCGCGGUAAUACGUAGGUCCCGAGCGUUGUCCGGAUUUAUUGGGCGUAAAGCGAGCGCAGGUGGUUUAUUAAGUCUGGUGUAAAAGGCAGUGGCUCAACCAUUGUAUGCAUUGGAAACUGGUAGACUUGAGUGCAGGAGAGGAGAGUGGAAUUCCAUGUGUAGCGGUGAAAUGCGUAGAUAUAUGGAGGAACACCGGUGGCGAAAGCGGCUCUCUGGCCUGUAACUGACACUGAGGCUCGAAAGCGUGGGGAGCAAACAGGAUUAGAUACCCUGAUAGUCCACGCCGUAAACGAUGAGUGCUAGAUGUAGGGAGCUAUAAGUUCUCUGUAUCGCAGCUAACGCAAUAAGCACUCCGCCUGGGGAGUACGACCGCAAGGUUGAAACUCAAAGGAAUUGACGGGGGCCCGCACAAGCGGUGGAGCAUGUGGUUUAAUUCGAAGCAACGCGAAGAACCUUACCAGGUCUUGACAUACUCGUGCUAUUCCUAGAGAUAGGAAGUUCCUUCGGGACACGGGAUACAGGUGGUGCAUGGUUGUCGUCAGCUCGUGUCGUGAGAUGUUGGGUUAAGUCCCGCAACGAGCGCAACCCCUAUUGUUAGUUGCCAUCAUUAAGUUGGGCACUCUAACGAGACUGCCGGUGAUAAACCGGAGGAAGGUGGGGAUGACGUCAAAUCAUCAUGCCCCUUAUGACCUGGGCUACACACGUGCUACAAUGGAUGGUACAACGAGUCGCGAGACAGUGAUGUUUAGCUAAUCUCUUAAAACCAUUCUCAGUUCGGAUUGUAGGCUGCAACUCGCCUACAUGAAGUCGGAAUCGCUAGUAAUCGCGGAUCAGCACGCCGCG
RNAcentral lists this ribosomal RNA (1251 nucleotides) under uncultured Lactococcus sp. RNAcentral's name for it is "bacterial SSU rRNA". It matches the Rfam family "Bacterial small subunit ribosomal RNA", at positions 120 to 1361 of the family's 1533-position model. Lineage: Bacteria; Bacillati; Bacillota; Bacilli; Lactobacillales; Streptococcaceae. The record is from RNAcentral.